This is a non-coding RNA of Scomber scombrus (Atlantic mackerel), 286 nucleotides long. The record is from RefSeq and is a predicted model, not a curated record. Lineage: Eukaryota; Metazoa; Chordata; Actinopteri; Scombriformes; Scombridae.
UCUUUGCAGCCUUGUCACGCAGCCCCUCGCAAGCACUGUUGCUUGUGGGCACAACAAGGUGGCAGAAAGCAACCCAAAGAAUGAAAAGGCGUGACUCCUCGAGGCUCAGGAGAUUCACGUGCGAUGUUCCUUGGACAGACUCCUGCUUUUCCACGGCGGUGAUGGUCUUCUUCUGUAGACAUCACCUUUCUUGAGGCAGGUAGAGUAAAAGAUAGAAACCUGGCAGCCAGAUAUUGUUUGGAACAGGUGAAGCUCUUCCUGUCGGACACUAAGUGCUGCCACAACA